GAUGAACGCUGGCGGCGUGCCUAACACAUGCAAGUCGAACGGAAAGACACUGAGCUCUUGCUCUUCCGGUUGGCGACGGGCGGGUGAGUGACGGGUACGUCGCCAUCCACUUUGUCGUGGGUCAGUGCGGAGGGACACAGACCCUAAUACCACAUACUACGUACCGGUGGGUGCGGUAGGUCUUCUGGGCUUGGGCGACGCUAUUAGCCGAUCCCGGAUUAGCUAGGUGACUGGGUAAAGGCCUAGCAAGGCGACGAUCCGUAGCUGAGCUGAGAGGAUGAUCGGCCACACUGGAACUGAGACACGGUCCAGACUCCUACGGGAGGCAGCAGUGGGGAAUAUUAGGCAAUGGGCGGAAGUCUGACACAGCAAGACCGCGUGGGAGAAGAAGGCCUUCGGUUGGUAAAGCCCUGUUGUUGGGAAAGAACAGCAGUCGACUAAGACGAAGCUGUGGUGACGGUACCUAAAUAAGAAGCACCGGCUAACUACGUG
This 492-nucleotide ribosomal RNA is filed under the name uncultured bacterium. RNAcentral describes it as "partial 16S ribosomal RNA". It matches the Rfam family "Bacterial small subunit ribosomal RNA", at positions 28 to 507 of the family's 1533-position model. The record is from RNAcentral.